GAUGAACGCUGGCGGCGUGCCUAAUACAUGCAAGUCGAGCGAACAGACGAGGAUCUUGCUCCUCUGACGUUAGCGGCGGACGGGUGAGUAACACGUGGAUAACCUACCUAUAAUACUGGUAUCACUUCGGAAAACCGGAUCUAAUACCAUAUAACAUCUUGAACCGCAUUGUUCGAUAGUAAGAGACGGUGUUUCUGUCACUUGUAGAUGGAUCCGCGCCUCAUUGGCUAGUUGGUAAUGUAGCGGCUUACCAAGGCAACGAUGGCUAGCCGGCCUGAGAGGGUGACCGGCCACAUUGGGACUGAGAGACGGCCCAGACGCCUACGGGAGGCAGCGGGGGGGAAUAUGGCACAAUGGGCGGAAGCCUGAUGCAGCAACGCCGCGUGCGGGAUGACGGCCUUCGGGUUGUAAACCGCUUUCGCCUGUGACGAGGCGUGAGUGACGGUAAUGGGUAAAGAAGCACCGGCUAACUACGUG
This 477-nucleotide ribosomal RNA is filed under the name uncultured bacterium. Its description in RNAcentral is "partial 16S ribosomal RNA". It matches the Rfam family "Bacterial small subunit ribosomal RNA", at positions 28 to 507 of the family's 1533-position model. The record is from RNAcentral.